Molecule: small nuclear RNA, 184 nt
Filed under: Corchorus olitorius
Lineage: Eukaryota; Viridiplantae; Streptophyta; Magnoliopsida; Malvales; Malvaceae
Description: U4 spliceosomal RNA
Rfam family: U4 spliceosomal RNA (bases 1-125)
About the family: U4 small nuclear RNA (U4 snRNA) is a component of the major U2-dependent spliceosome.
Source: Rfam by way of RNAcentral
AUCUUUGCGCCUGGGGCAAUGACGCAGCUAGUGAGGUUCUAACCGAGGCGGGGCUAUUGCUGGUUGAAGAAAACUAUCUAACUGUUACUCCCGGUACAAGUUUUGUCAAUAAAGCAGAUGGUUUACUUCUACUUUGUGCUAAAUACAUUAACAAUGUUUGAAGUUGUUAUUACCUAUAAAAACU